Long non-coding RNA from Canis lupus familiaris (dog), 582 nucleotides. RefSeq lists it as uncharacterized. The transcript is spliced from 3 exons. NCBI's taxonomy places the organism in Eukaryota, Metazoa, Chordata, Mammalia, Carnivora, Canidae. The record is from RefSeq and is a predicted model, not a curated record.
CAAAUUCAUACUUCACAGAAUAUUGAAACUUAAACAGUAUGCAUAAACCAAAUCUGGAUUUGUUUUGGUGCUGUUUAUUACUCAAACACUCAGAGAUGGAAGCAAAGAAAGUUACAACUCACCACAUACUGAGUUAGAGGAUGGGGAAUCUUCAGCAUUUGAACUUGGGGAGGAAGAAUAUAAAAAUACAGGUGGUCUAUCUGCAAUUAUGAACAAGGAAACAUCAACUACAAACUCUCUAUUCAGUCUGCUGUUGUUCCUCUUCAAAUGUAAUCAAAGAGAAUCUACUCAACUCAAAGUGAAAGCUGACACCAGGCUAUAAUGUUCAGUGAAACCUUACCAAAGAUCUCAGAGAAAUUGAAACGCACUACCACACAGAGACAUUUCAAGUUGGGUGUUAAAUUUGGCUUCACUCGGAGUUCAUGAAUCCAAUUCAUUUCAAAUGCAUCAGGUAUUUUUUUUCCUCUGCCUUGUUGCCAUUCCAAAUCCAGACAAAUAAACCUGGGGGAAAAUGCUAAAGAAAAUGCUUAAUUCAAUUUUCCAUCACGAUCAAAAGAAAUGAAUUUAAAGAUCUAUAAAAUC